GUAAAUUGGCAACCAACGAUAUUUUACGACGUUCUUCCUCAUCUUUACCGCCCUGGUAAGGCAAAGGUCCCGGGUUCAAAUCCCGGCCGCG
This 91-nucleotide transfer RNA is filed under the name Sulfurisphaera ohwakuensis. Its description in RNAcentral is "tRNA-OTHER". The record is from RNAcentral. Lineage: Archaea; Thermoproteati; Thermoproteota; Thermoprotei; Sulfolobales; Sulfolobaceae.